CCUACGGGAGGCAGCAGUGGGGAAUAUUGGGCAAUGGGCGCAAGCCUGACCCAGCAACGCCGCGUGAAGGAAGAAGGCUUUCGGGGUGUAACCUUCUUUUCUCAGGGACGAAGCAAGUGACGGUACCUGAGGAAUAAGCCACCGCUAACUACGUGCCAGCAGCCGCGGUAAUGCGUAGGAGGUAAGCGUUAUCCGGAUUUACUGGGUGUAAAGGUCGUGUAGGCGGGAAAGAAAGUCAGAUGUGAAAACCAUGGGCUCAACCUGUGGCCUGCAUUUGAAACUGUUUUUCUUGAGUACUGGAGAGGCAUACGGAAUUCCUAGUGUAGCGGUGAAAUGCGUAGAUAUUAGGCGGAACACCAGUGGCGAAGGCGGUCUGCUGGACAGCAACUGACGCUGAGGCGCAAAAGCGUGGGGAGCAAACAGGAGUAGAUACCCCUGUAGUC
This 443-nucleotide ribosomal RNA is filed under the name uncultured bacterium. RNAcentral describes it as "partial 16S ribosomal RNA". It matches the Rfam family "Bacterial small subunit ribosomal RNA", at positions 338 to 795 of the family's 1533-position model. The record is from RNAcentral.